Molecule: ribosomal RNA, 485 nt
Filed under: Escherichia coli
Lineage: Bacteria; Pseudomonadati; Pseudomonadota; Gammaproteobacteria; Enterobacterales; Enterobacteriaceae
Description: partial 23S ribosomal RNA
Rfam family: Bacterial large subunit ribosomal RNA
Source: RNAcentral
GUAACACUAACUGGAGGACCGAACCGACUAAUGUUGAAAAAUUAGCGGAUGACUUGUGGCUGGGGGUGAAAGGCCAAUCAAACCGGGAGAUAGCUGGUUCUCCCCGAAAGCUAUUUAGGUAGCGCCUCGUGAAUUCAUCUCCGGGGGUAGAGCACUGUUUCGGCAAGGGGGUCAUCCCGACUUACCAACCCGAUGCAAACUGCGAAUACCGGAGAAUGUUAUCACGGGAGACACACGGCGGGUGCUAACGUCCGUCGUGAAGAGGGAAACAACCCAGACCGCCAGCUAAGGUCCCAAAGUCAUGGUUAAGUGGGAAACGAUGUGGGAAGGCCCAGACAGCCAGGAUGUUGGCUUAGAAGCAGCCAUCAUUUAAAGAAAGCGUAAUAGCUCACUGGUCGAGUCGGCCUGCGCGGAAGAUGUAACGGGGCUAAACCAUGCACCGAAGCUGCGGCAGCGACACUGUGUGUUGUUGGGUAGGGGAGCGU